RNAcentral lists this ribosomal RNA (422 nucleotides) under uncultured bacterium. RNAcentral describes it as "partial 16S ribosomal RNA". It matches the Rfam family "Bacterial small subunit ribosomal RNA", at positions 360 to 774 of the family's 1533-position model. The record is from RNAcentral.
AAUAUUGAACAAAGGGGGCAACCCUGAUCCAGCUAUGCCGCGAGUGUGAAGAAGGUCUUCGGAUUUUAAACCACUUUAAGCUGGGAGGAAGGGCUUUAGUUUAAUACCCAGAAGUUUUGACGUUACCAACAGACUACGCACCGGCUAACUCUGUGCCAGCAGCCGCGGUAAUACAGAGUGUGCAAGCGUUAAUCGGAAUUACUGGGCGUAAAGCGCGCGUAGGUGGUUCAGUAAGAUGGGUGUGAAAUCCCCGGGCUUAACCUGGGAACUGCUUUCAUAACUGCUGAGCUAGAGUACGGUAGAGGGUAAUGGAAUUUCCUGUGUAGCGGUGAAAUGCGUAGAUAUAGGAAGGAACACCAGUGGCGAAGGCGACUACCUGGACUGAUACUGACACUGAGGUGCGAAAGCGUGGGGAGCAAACA